This 274-nucleotide ribosomal RNA is filed under the name uncultured bacterium. Its description in RNAcentral is "partial 16S ribosomal RNA". It matches the Rfam family "Bacterial small subunit ribosomal RNA", at positions 523 to 796 of the family's 1533-position model. The record is from RNAcentral.
AUACGGAGGGUGCAAGCGUUACUCGGAAUCACUGGGCGUGAAGGACGCGUAGGCGGGGUGGAAAGUCUGAUGUGAAAUCCUACAGCUUAACUGUAGAACUGCAUUGGAAACUUACAACCUAGAGUAUGGGAGGGGGAGAUGGAAUUAGUGGUGUAGGGGUAAAAUCCGUAGAUAUCACUAGGAAUACCCAAAGCGAAGGCGAUCUUCUGGAACAUUACUGACGCUAAGGCGUGAAAGCGUGGGGAGCAAACGGGAUUAGAAACCCCAGUAGUCC